CCUUCCCCCACCCCACUCUUAAAGUGCCCCACGGUUAACUAAGUUUGGAAUCCUCUACACAUCAUUACAGUCUUCUGCAAGCCCCUGUUACAGCUUCAGUGUUUAGGAAAGCUGUUGGGAAGUUAUGCAGUGAUGAAAAAUCCACUUCCCACAAACAUUUGACCCCUGAACUUUUUUUUUUUUUUUUUUUUUUUACCUCUACAAGCCCCAUGUCAUCCCCUAACACAACUUCUCAUGGAACGUACUUUGGGCAAUGCUACUAGAAAAAGUACAAAUGAAGUUCUUACCUCCGGCUUCCCAUUUGAUGAAACAAGUCCUGUCCCAUAGGCUUCGAUGGCUCCACUCUGCUUGCAAAGAUCAAACUCUAAAGUAAACCAAUAGAGCUGAUCAAGGCACAAAAUGGAAAAAGAAUGGAGCGGUGACUGAAACCAAAUAUCUAAUCAACAGUGCCAAGGACUGGAAGAUCCCUCAAGAGGCUGAGAGGCAACCCAGUUCUUCCCCACUUCAACCCCAUCCCGAUCUUCAGGCAGGACAGAGAGCCUUCGUACUGCUCUCCUAAUGCAUCAUCCUCAGUCCCCUGGACCCCGCUUCUUUCAAAGUUCAAUUAUAUCUGAGGCUUAGUUCAAGGGUCCUCUUCUUCAAAUCUUCUCAUGACUCGGGGGCCCACUGAGCAUUUCCUUUCCUUCAGUUAGAUCACCCUUUCGUGUAUUCAUUAAAAGCACAUUGAACACUUACCAUAUGCAUGAUACAGUGCUGGGAAAUACAGAUCUGAAAUAGACAAAGAUCCUACCCCCCAGAGGAGCUCACAAUUUCUACCACUGGAAGAGGAAUGAAGAGAAGACAACGAAGGCUCAGUUCUAAGGAAGGCUUCAGCAGAUGAAGAUACAGUAAGUUGCGGGCACAUUGCCUUGUAGAACAUAUCCAACAGCAUUCUCACCAUGAUCACAUCAAGUUAUCAGAACACAGCCUGCCUCAGGUUAAGCACUCUAUGGAUG
RNAcentral lists this long non-coding RNA (995 nucleotides) under Homo sapiens (human). Its description in RNAcentral is "HSALNT0194104". The record is from RNAcentral. Lineage: Eukaryota; Metazoa; Chordata; Mammalia; Primates; Hominidae.